RNAcentral lists this ribosomal RNA (279 nucleotides) under uncultured bacterium. RNAcentral's name for it is "partial 16S ribosomal RNA". The record is from RNAcentral.
CUGCUGCCUUCCGUAGGAGUUUGGGCCGUGUCUCAGUCCCAAUGUGGCCGUCCACCCUCUCAGGCCGGCUACUGAUCGUCGCUUUGGUAGGCCGUUACCCUGCCAACUGGCUAAUCAGACGCGGGCCCAUCUUAUACCACCGGAGUUUUUCACCCUGGGCCAUGCGGCCCUGGGCGCUUAUGCGGUCUUAGCACCUAUUUCUAAGUGUUAUCCCCCUGUAUAAGGCAGGUUACCCACGCGUUACUCACCCGUCCGCCACUAAAGUAAAAAUUGUUUCCG